Molecule: small nucleolar RNA, 139 nt
Filed under: Callorhinchus milii (elephant shark)
Lineage: Eukaryota; Metazoa; Chordata; Chondrichthyes; Chimaeriformes; Callorhinchidae
Description: Small nucleolar RNA SNORA29 (ENSCMIG00000003900.1)
Rfam family: Small nucleolar RNA SNORA29
About the family: ACA29 is a member of the H/ACA class of snoRNA that guide the sites of modification of uridines to pseudouridines.
Source: Rfam by way of RNAcentral
UAUCCCAUUUUAGUACCAUUUAUUUAUAACUGCAGGAUGAAUGGCUAUGCAAAUGGGAGAAAGGAAACCUGCUUAGUCUGAUGGGAAAAGUGGCUAUUUAACCCAUUUUGCCUGAAGGCAAAGGGCAGGACAUGAUUUU